UCGACCUGAGAUCAGACGAGAUUACCCGCUGAAUUUA
RNAcentral lists this ribosomal RNA (37 nucleotides) under Mesenchytraeus pelicensis. RNAcentral's name for it is "partial 28S ribosomal RNA". The record is from RNAcentral. Lineage: Eukaryota; Metazoa; Annelida; Clitellata; Enchytraeida; Enchytraeidae.